AAAGAUCUUCGUUGAUUAUCCUGACAUCUGCUGGUGAGGGCACAGUUGAUUCUAGUCUACUUUUCCCUUCAACAACUUGCUCAAAUCAAAGAUUUUUAGGGGUAUUUUCAGUGACAAGUGGUAAUACAUUCAGUUUAAGUAUUUAUAGUACUUAAAUUCUUGCUGUUAUCACAUAGGAAACCAUGAGAAAUAUUUUAAUAAUUACUUCACAUUGGCAGCCAUUUGACUCUAUCUAUAAAUACAUGUUUGCUUUGAUUAAGCAAACAACAUUAUAAUCAUUACAUGGACUAUGAUAAAAAUAAAGAAAUCAUUUUAGAGGAAUAGUUAUAUAGUCUAUAACUAUAGAACAUCUAAGGAAGAUGCUAAGCGUCUUCCUUAAAACACAGAGAAGAACUGAAUAAUAGGAAUGGCUUAGCUUUGGUUUUCUGCUUUUUAAAAUUAUAAUGUUAAUUUUCAACCUACUUAGCAAAUAAAAAGUAAAUGAUUAACUAUGAUAGAAGCCAUUAACACUCAACACAUAUUUGCAAAAUUUGCUAUUUUUUACUCAGUAUCCAAAUGUUAUGAUUUACUUCUGACUUGAACUGAGUUCUGAAGCCUGCACUGUUUCUUUGGCAGAGAUACAAUGAACCUAUCACGUCAUAAUCUUACUCAAAGCUAUUGCACCUGCAAGUGUGUGCAGUAAACAACAAAUAUCAGAAUUACUUUUUUAGGCUUCAAGAAACUCUCAAAGGAGGCAACUUUUAAAAAAUUACACACAAAUGACAACAUAUGCAGUUCAUCCCAUUAUGCAAAAUCCUUCAAAAAUGAAAAGUUUUAGCUAAUUAAAUCUUUAUCUUGAAAUUAAUAAAAUUAAUAGCUGGUACUACUAAUUUAACUCUAAAAACUGUCAAGCUUUUAUUUUUAAUGGUAUCGAGUGACCAUGCUACUUUAUUUUAGUCAUGUAUAUCUUAUUCCUUCCCUUUACAUUGCUAUAAUUUUAUGAGAAGAAAAAAAUCACAUGUAUCUAGAGAGAAAAGCAAACUUUAUUAAAUAUUUAUUUAAAAUACCCUAGAUUUUGAAUACAUGAUUUAUAUGAACAUUGAUGUCAAUAUAUUUGAGAAAAUUAUAACAUAGUUUUAAUUUAGAAAAGUGUUCAGAAAUACAUUUGCCUACUUUUGAAGAUUUUUGCAACUUCAAGAUCAAAGAAGGAAAAAUAGACCAUCUCAAUUUUUUCCUGAUUUUUUAAAAUUAUUUUAAGUCUUUUCCCAAAACCAUAUGCAUUUAAAACAAAUGCAUUUUAAUUCUAAGGAAACAUUUCAGGAAAAAUCAGAAAAACAUUUUCAGAACCAGAGGAAAAAAUUGUGUGUUGUAUCACCACAGUGGCCAAAAUAUUGCAAUACUGUCAAACUUUCACAUGAGAAUACUUCAUUUUCACUUAAUUCUUAUUUUAAUUUGAUAUUUCAGAAUUAUUUUUGUAUGUUUUACCUUGACUCUGAAGUUAGCAUUUAUUUUUAAGGUAUAAAAUUUAAUGGUCAGGUAAAUUAGGCAAUGAAGACAUCAAUGUGUAAUAAUAAUAUAAUAAGAUAAAAGAAACUCCUUAUUUCUGUAUAAAUAUAACUAUACUAAUCAUAAAAGGUUAGUGUUGUUAUCUGGAGUGAGACUGUUCAGGUUUUAAUUUAUUCUCAUGUAAAAUUAACUAAAAAUCGCCAUUGAUUAAAAAAAGAAAAUGCAAAUGCCAAUGAUUCAUAGUAUUUAGGACAUGUCUAGACAUUUUUAGACAGUGCCAUUUGCUUAAAGACUUCAGGCACAAACUGCAGGCACAGGGACAGAUUGCAUAAGAUGUCACGUGCUUGCUGCAACUGUAUGCAUGUUAUUGAAUUUUUUAGAGCAACCCAUACCAUGAAUAAUUUAAUAGUUAAUAAAAUAUUCAAUCUGACUGAUCCAUUGGUUUAAUUUUAAAAUAAAGACGACUAAUAAAAGGAGUUACAUAUCCUUAUCAAAUCCCAGGCAUUAAUGCAAGUAAAUUGCAACCCAUACGUAGGGAAAACACCAAUUUCUAAGAGACAUGAGAUUAACGAUUGGGGGCGGGAAGGAGUGCAAGGAAAAUUCUGUGUUAGCACUGGCUUCAAUAAGUUUGCCGGAAGUUUAAUUGUUUGGAGCUGUCACGGAAGCCGUACUCUGCCUUCUGCAGAGGUGAGGGAGAAAAAAAUUAGAGAGGUGCAAGUUUUAACAGAAAGGGCUAAUGCAAAAUGGUCUAUUUAUUUUUCCUCAAGCCUUUCCCCUGUCCUCACAAGCUAGCUGGGGGAAAAAGGGAGAAAUCUCCUGAAGAAUAUGGAGCAUCCAGCUUCCCGAGCAUUGUCUAAGAGAACCAGGAUGGAGAGUCCAGGCAACAUCUCCAUGGUUGGCUUGUCUGGCGGAGUAAGCUGUGCCCUCGGCGCGGGUAUCUUCAGGAGACAGAGCUCCUGGCUGCAGCGAGCCGGGACUUGCCGCGCCCCGGGGCUCCCGCAAUCAGACCCAGCCAGGCAAGCGCGGCCACAUAGGCAAGCGCGGCCACAUAGGCUAGACGCACUAUCUUCUCCUCUACCCCGCGCCGCCCUCCACCUCGGAGCGGGGACGUACGGUGGUGGCGGUGACACAAUGCGAGUGAGUGGAGCCUUUGGGAGGAAUUGCGCCGUGAGAAGAGCCCUCAUGAAUGGGAUUAGUUCCCUUAUAAGAAGAGACACCAAGGAAAUGAUCUUUCUCUGCCCUCUGCUAUGUGAAGACAAGGUCAUCUGCAGUUUUUUGUUGUUGUUGAUGAUCUUCCUGUCAUAGACAAUGCUGUAACAAACAGACUAGUAGCCAAAAACUCAAUUGGGAAAUUGUUGUUUCCAAAAACUAAAUGGGAAAUUAUUGUUUAUGUGAUUGAACAUGGAGAUCUUUCAUGAUUCAGCGAUGGCUGGAUUCAGAGGACCAAAGAUUGGUACAAGCAGUGACUUUUCUCCAUCUCUUGGUUCUCUCUGCCCCUGUUUUGGCUCUGGCCAGAUUGUUCACUGUUGACAUAUAGAAGUACUACUGAUUGGCCAGACAUGGUGGCUCAUGCCUGGAAUCCCAGCACUUUGGGAGGCCAAGGCAGGUGGAUCACUUGAGCCCAGAAGUUUGAGACCAGCCUGGGCAACAUGAUGAAACCCCAUCUCUACAAAAUAAAUAGAAAAAUUAGCUGGGUAUAGUGGCAUGUGCCAGUAGUCCCAGCUACAUGGGAGUCUGAGGUGGGAGGACGGCUUGAGCCCAGGAGGUGGAGGUUACAGUGAGCUGAGAUCAUGCCACUGCACUCCAGCCUGGGUGACAGAGUGGGACUCUGUCUAAAAAAAAAAAAAUCAUAUUAUCUGUAAACGGAAAUAUAAAUAAUUUAACUUCUUGUUUUCCAAUUUGGAUUCCCUUUCUUUCUUUCACCUGUAUGAUUGCUUUAGCUAGAACUUCCAGUAAUAUGUUGAAUAACAGUGAUGACCAGUGGGCAUCCUUGUUGUGUUCCAGAUCUUAGAGAAAAGACUUUCAGUUUUUUUCCCCAUUUAACAUACGAGCUAUGAACCUGUAAUAUAUGGCUUUUAUUAUGUUGAGGUAUGUUCCUUCUAUACCUAGUUUUCUUAGGUUUUUUUUUUUAUCAUGGGGGGAUGUUGAAUCAAUUGAAAUGAUCGUAUGGUUUUUGUCCUUCAUUCUGUUGAUAUGAUUUAUCACAUUGACUGAUUUGCAUAUGUUUAACCAUUCUUGCACCCCUGAGAUAAAUGUCACUUCAUCAUGAUGAAUCAAACUUUUAAUAUGUUGUUGAAUUUGUUUGCUAGUAUUUUGUUGAGAAUUUUUGGAUCCAUAUUCAUCAGUGAUAUUGGCCUGUAGUUUCCCUUUUUUGAUAUGUGUUUGACUGGUUUUGGUACCAGGGUAAUACAGGCCUCAUAGAAGAAUGAGCUUGAAAGUAUGCCACUCUCCUCUAUUUUUUGAGAUAGUUUGCAUAGGAUUCGGAUUAAUUCUUCUUUAAACAUUUGGUAGAACUUAGCAGUGAAGCCAUGGAAUCACAGCUUUCCUUGACUGGAAGACAUUUUAUUACAGCUUCAAUCUUGUUACUUGUUAUUGGUCUCCUCAGGCUUUGGAUUUCUUCGUGGUUCAAUGUUGGUAGGUUGUAUGUGUCUAGGAAUUUGUUCAUUUCUUCUAGAUUUUCUAAUUCUUUGGCCUGUAUAAUUGCUCAUAGUAUCCACUAAUGAUCUUCUGAGUUUCUACAGUAUCAGUUGUAAAGACUCCUUUUUCAUCUCUGAUUUUAUUUGGGUCUUCUAUUUUUUGUUAGUUAGGUUUCUCAAUUUUGUUUAACUUUUCAAAAAAACAGCUUUUUUUUAUUAUUAUACUUUAAGUUCUAGGGUACAUGUGCACAACAUACACGUUUGUUACAUAUGUAUACAUGCAGCUCAUCAUUUACAUUAGGUAUAUCUCCUAAUGCUAUCCCUCUCCCUUCCCCCCACCCCAUGACAGGCCCCAGUGUGUGAUGUUCCCCUUCCUAUGUCCAAGUGUUCUCAUUGUUCAAUUCCCACUUGUGAGUGAGAACAUGCAUUGUUUGGUUCUCUGUCCUUGAGAUAGUUUGCUGAGAAUGAUGGUUUCCAGCUUCAUCCAUGUCCCUACAAAGGACAUGAACUCAUCCUUUUUUAUGGCUGCAUUGUAUUCCAUGGUGUAUAUGUGCCACAUUUUCUUAAUCUAGUCUAUCAUUGAUGGACAUUUGGGUUGGUUCCAAGUCUUUGCUAUUGUGAAUAGUGCCUCAGUAAACAUACGUGUGCAUGUGUCUUUAUAGCAGCAUGAUUUAUAACCUUUGGGUAUAUACCCAGUAAUGGAAUGGCUGGGUCAAAUGGUAUUUCUAGUUCUAGAUCCUUGAGGAAUCGCCACACUGUCUUCCACGAUGGCUGAACUAGUUUACAGUCCCACCAACAAUGUAAAAGUGUUCCUAUUUCUCCACAUCCUGUCCAGCACCUGUUGUUUCCUGACUUUUUAAUGAUCGCCAUUCUAACUGGUGUGAGAUGGUAUCUCAUUGUGGUUUUGAUUUGCAUUUCUCUGAUGGCCAGUGAUGAUGAGCAUUUUUUCAUGUGUCUGUUGGCUUCAUAAAUGUCUUCUUUUGAGAAGCGUCUGUUCAUAUCCUUCACCCCCUUCAUGAUGGGGUUGUUUGUUCAAAAAACCAGCUUUUUGUGUUAUUGACCCUGAAUAACCAGCAGUGAUAGGUAGGUAUCACAGGUUUUGGGUGAGACUCUGAAACUUGUUGGCUUCAGGUGAAACUCAGUACAUUCCCAGUGGUGGUGGCUAUGGAGACAGACUCCUUCCACUUGAGAAAAGCAGAGGGAAAAGAAUAGGGGACUUUGUCUUGCACCAUAGCUAUCAGCUCUGCCACACGGGGAUAUAUUGAGCAACAAGUGUGUGCUUUACCCUGCUAUGGCUGAGCCGGUAUCCAAGAUGCAAGACAAAGUCCUCUCCACUCUUCACUCUCCUAUCAAGUGGGGAAAAAAAGGUGUCUUCUUUGGAGCUGCAAGAUAUGCAGCCUGGGAUUAAUGGAGGGGUGGCACCAGCACUUCCUCAGCCAUCCUGGUUGGUGUUUCAGUAGCUCACAUGCCCGCUCCUCCCCAUCCCCCACACAAUCCACUGGCUCUAAGCCCAGUUCAGCCCUAGGAAUUGCCUAGGAGAUGCAGUCGUUGUGGCCCUAGACUGCCUUUCAGUUUAUUCAGCACUUCAGAGCACUCCAGCCCAAGGUGGUGAGGCUUGUCAGAACUCAAAUUCUGACUGCUGGGAUGGAUGAUUCCCUUCUUGCUAGCGCUGGUUUAAAUGCUCUCUCCAUGGGCAGGCAUCAGCUGAGUUUGUUCCAGUUUUGCUUUCUUCUGUAACAAGGCAGCACUAAGUACUAAAUUCAAUGCACUAUGUCACAAUUACAGUAUUCUCCCUCUCCCAAGUGCACAGAUUAUCUCUCUGUGCCACAUGGCCACUGUUGGAGGAUGAAAAAGGGAUGGCAUUGGCAAUUCAAAACUGUUUGUCCUACUUCUUCAGUGCCUCUUUCAAUCAUACGAACUUAUAGCUGAGUACUAUGAGUGCUCACCUGAUUUUUGGUUCUAAAUACUUUUUUCUCUUUGUUUUUUUUUUUUUUUUUUUUGUAGAUAGUUGUUAAAUUGGUGUCCUUGUAGAAGGGGCAAUUGGUGAAAUCUCCUAUUCCACCAUCUUGCUUUGUUACUCUCUCCAUAUCUAAAUUUUAAAAAUUCCAGCAGUUUAAGAGAAGAGAGAGGAGAAAAAUAUUUUAAAAUUAUAAGAAAAUUUCCAAAUCUUCAGGUCAGCAAUUUUCAAAUUAUUAGUACUCACAAGGGUCUAGGAGAAAGAAAGAAGUGGACUCACCACAACACAUCACUGUGGCAUUUUUUAUUAUUGGGAACAAUAAGAACAUUCUAUAAACUAAUAAGAAGAAAAGAUAUCACAGAAUUUCAUACAAACGAACUGAGAAUUAGGAGACUACUAGAGUUCUUAACAGAAAUAAUUUAACUUGAAAAGAACAGAAAAAUGCCUUCAAAAAUCUGAGGAGAAAUUAUUUUCUACUUAGAAUUAUAUGCCCAGCAAAAUUAUGAAUACAUGCGAAUCUAGAAUAAAGAUAACUUCUGAACAUUCUCGGUUUCCAAGAUGUAUCUCCCAUGCAUCAUUUUAAAGAAAAUUAUAAGAAAAUAUACUUCACUAAAAUAAGGGAGUAAUCCAAGAAAAGGGAGUAUUCUGAUAUUCAAGAAAUCAUGGCUUUAAUCUAAGAGAGGUAAUGGGACUCUGCAAAAUGAUAGUGAAGAAGUAAUGUCAAAUAAUACCUGUGAAAUAAACCUACAGAUCAAUUUAUUUAAAUUGGGUCAAAUAAAAAUGGGUAUAGGAGAUAUUUCCUCAAAAAGAUAAAAAAAAGAAUACUUAAUCUACAGAAAUAUUGGAUGGAGAUUUAUACAACUGGGGGAGGGUUGCAGAUUGAAUUAGUGAUUAAAAACAAAGACAAAAGGAAGCAAUUAUUAAUCUAUAAAAACAAAAAUUAUGUAGGAAAAUGAUUGGAUUAUUAUAUGCUUUGUUAUGAAAAUAAUUUAAAUAAUAUUAAUAAUAUACACACUGAGUAUUGGUUUAACCAAAUGUUUUAUUUAACUAUAUUAGGAUGAUAGAAAAGUAGAAGGUGUUUAUAUAAAUGCUGUGUGAGAAGAGACGAGGGUCCUUAAAGAAAGCUAAAUUCUUAUCUUUUCUAGUGGAAAUAGAUAACCCCUAAACUGGUAAAUGAAGAAUAUAAUAAUAUAAGAAUAUUAUUUUCCAGCCAGACAUGGUGGCUUACGCCUGUAAUACCACCACUUUGGAAGGCUGAGGCGGGCGGAUCAUGAGGUCAGGAGAUCGAGACCAUCCUGGCUAACACAGUGAAACCCCGUCUCUACUAAAAAUACAAAAAAUUAGCCGGGCUUGGUGGCGGGCGCCUGUCGUCCCAGCUACUUGGGAGGCUGAGGCAGGAGAAUGGCAUGAACCCGGGAGGCGGAGCUUGCAGUGAGCUGAGAUCGCGCCACUGCACUCCAGCCUGGGAGACAAAACAAGACUCCGUCUAAAAAAAAAAAAAAAAAGAAAAAAAAAAGAAUAUUAUUUUCCAUGGAGAGACGGAAUAAUACACAAACAGAUUGGUGAAAGGUUUGACUAUGCUGGCCAAUGGGAAAUGUGGGUGAGAAAGAGUGAAUGGUAGCGUGCAUGGGAUUCCUGUCUUUCAUUAUG
Molecule: RNA transcript, 7728 nt
Organism: Pan troglodytes (chimpanzee)
Lineage: Eukaryota; Metazoa; Chordata; Mammalia; Primates; Hominidae
Exons: 5
Source: RefSeq, a predicted model, not a curated record